GACGAACGCUGGCGGCGUGCUUAACACAUGCAAGUCGAACGGAAAGGCCCUGCUUUUGUGGGGUGCUCGAGUGGCGAACGGGUGAGUAACACGUGAGUAACCUGCCCUCGACUUUGGGAUAACUUCAGGAAACUGGGGCUAAUACCGGAUAGGAGCUCCUGCUGCAUGGUGGGGGUUGGAAAGUUUCGUCGGUUGGGGAUGGACUCGCGUCUUAUCAGCUUGUUGGUGGGGUAGUGUCUUACCAAGGCUUUGACGGGUAGCCGGCCUGAGAGGGUGAGCGGCCACAUUGGGACUGAGAUACGGCGCAGACUGCUACGGGAGGCAGCAGUGGGGAAUAUUGCACAAUGGGCGGAAGCCUGAUGCAGCAACGCCGCGUGCGGGAUGACGGCCUUCGGGUUGUAAACCGCGUUCGCCUGUGACGAAGCGUGAGUGACGGUAAUGGGUAAAGAAGCAUCGGCUAACUACGUG
RNAcentral lists this ribosomal RNA (468 nucleotides) under uncultured bacterium. RNAcentral's name for it is "partial 16S ribosomal RNA". It matches the Rfam family "Bacterial small subunit ribosomal RNA", at positions 28 to 507 of the family's 1533-position model. The record is from RNAcentral.